GUUUCGGUGUGCAUCAUUGCUGAAAUGAAGCCUUAAAAUAACUUCAGGUUAGAGCUGGAGAGAUGGCUCAACCGUUAAAGGCUAGGCUCACAACCAAAAUA
Molecule: microRNA precursor, 101 nt
Filed under: Microtus ochrogaster (prairie vole)
Lineage: Eukaryota; Metazoa; Chordata; Mammalia; Rodentia; Cricetidae
Description: miRNA (ENSMOCG00000010133.1)
Source: RNAcentral